AACCUACGGGAGGCAGCAGUGAGGAAUAUUGGUCAAUGGGCGCGAGCCUGAACCAGCCAAGUCGCGUGAGGGAAGACGGUCCUAUGGAUUGUAAACCUCUUUUGUCGGGGAGCAAAAGCCGGACGUGUCCGGCUGUGAGAGUACCCGAAGAAAAAGCAUCGGCUAACUCCGUGCCAGCAGCCGCGGUAAUACGGAGGAUGCGAGCGUUAUCCGGAUUUAUUGGGUUUAAAGGGUGCGUAGGCGGGACGGUAAGUCAGCGGUAAAAAUGCGGAGCUCAACUCCGUCGAGCCGUUGAAACUGCCGUU
RNAcentral lists this ribosomal RNA (305 nucleotides) under uncultured bacterium. RNAcentral describes it as "bacterial SSU rRNA". It matches the Rfam family "Bacterial small subunit ribosomal RNA", at positions 335 to 640 of the family's 1533-position model. The record is from RNAcentral.